CCGUGGCUCAGUCCCUAUCAAGGGACCUGCAUGUCAUAAGGGAGUAAAAUUUAGAUUACAGUAAUGAAGUUGCAACUUUUUCACAUCAUCAUUUCUGCUUUGUGGUUAAUAUUCCUUGUUAGGGCCAAGUUACUCAUCAAUAUGAAAUAAGCACUAGGAGUUUUGUUUUGUUGAUUUUAUAUAUCUGCUUUUGUGGAUGUAAGAUGUGAUUGCUAAAGUUAUCAGCUCCCUAACUUAUGUUGCUAGGGGAGUAAAUAGUUGCUCCAAAGUUUAAUCACCUCUUGAAGGAGCAUUUAUCAAGCUUCUUGAACCAUUUGAUUAGUGAUUUGUUCGAUAAUCUCGUAGAUGAUGGGUUUCUGUCUCACUUUUCCUUGGUUGUGAUUUUCUAGCCAUAAAGACUUCAGGAGUUUCCAAAGCUGUUGGCUGUUAAACUGGUUUUUGGUUCUAAGAGUCCAGUAAGCCACAGAAGAUGUCUGUUCAUACAAUAAAGCUGCACGGACUUGUUGGAGUAUCUUCUAACACAAUCAAGUCUAAGCUGCAACUUUUGAAGCAUAUCGCCGUAGUUAGUCGAGACUGCCAAGCAUAGUUGUUGGCUGCUGCUACUUGCUGCAAUUAUUUCAUCCGCUGUGAUGAAGGCUAUUAAGCUCAUUCUGCCACCUAUACUUGUUGGUUGCUCCUCUGUUCAUGAUCAGAUGAAAACAUCCAGGAUGGAAUUCUCUUUUGCUCUCUGCCUUGGAUGGCUAAAGCCUGAGAUCUUCCUUGUUGGCUUGUGAUUUUAAACUGUCCAACCAUUCAGCAAUUUGUAGACAUGUUAAUGAGGUGUUCUUUUACUUCUUUUGGAGCUCAAUUUGCCAUAUCUUCCGUACUGCUUGUAGUUCAAAGUAGCCAGUAUUUUGCAGCAGAAAGAUGUGGAUUAGCUGAACCCUGAUAGCUGCUUGCAUCCUUCUUGAAGUUGUAUCUUAGCUCUAUAACAGGCAACAUAUUUUUUCUCAA
Coffea eugenioides is the source of this 993-nucleotide long non-coding RNA. RefSeq lists it as uncharacterized. The transcript has 3 exons. NCBI's taxonomy places the organism in Eukaryota, Viridiplantae, Streptophyta, Magnoliopsida, Gentianales, Rubiaceae. The record is from RefSeq and is a predicted model, not a curated record.